Molecule: transfer RNA, 76 nt
Filed under: Culex quinquefasciatus (southern house mosquito)
Lineage: Eukaryota; Metazoa; Arthropoda; Insecta; Diptera; Culicidae
Description: tRNA-Thr
Rfam family: tRNA
About the family: Transfer RNA (tRNA) molecules are approximately 80 nucleotides in length. Their secondary structure includes four short double-helical elements and three loops (D, anti-codon, and T loops).
Source: RNAcentral
GCAGCAGGCUUGGCCGAAUGGCAAACCUGUCCGCUUCGUAAGCGGAAGAUCAUGGGUUCGAUUCCCAUCUGCUCCA